AUGGUGCGUAUCUUGAAUGUCAAAACGACUCUCGGCAACGGAUAUCUCGGCUCUCGCAUCGAUGAAGAACGUAGCGAAAUGCGAUACUUGGUGUGAAUUGCAGAAUCCCGUGAACCAUCGAGUCUUUGAACGCAAGUUGCGCCCGAAGCCUUCGGGCCGAGGGCACGCCUGCCUGGGCG
This 179-nucleotide ribosomal RNA is filed under the name Ruellia elegans. Its description in RNAcentral is "5.8S ribosomal RNA". The stretch from base 27 to 179 matches the Rfam family "5.8S ribosomal RNA". From Rfam's summary of the family: 5.8S ribosomal RNA (5.8S rRNA) is a component of the large subunit of the eukaryotic ribosome. RNAcentral also lists the same sequence under 2 other names. Lineage: Eukaryota; Viridiplantae; Streptophyta; Magnoliopsida; Lamiales; Acanthaceae. The record is from RNAcentral.